AGGUCACAGUCAGAAGUGGGACAACCCAAGUCCAUCAGCUGAUGAACAAAUGUGUCCCGGCUCCACAAAGGGGAGGAAUUCAUCUGUGAAGUAGAGCAAGGUUUUACGUGCCGUGGACGAAGCUUUAAACAAGCUAAGUGAAGCUGCGUUACAAAGGCCACAUACCACAUGAUUCUGUUUAAUGAAAAGCGGCAAAUCUGUCGAGACGGAAAUCAGAUUAUUGAUUGGCCGAGUCUAGCAGAGAGUGUAAUUAGGAGUGACUCCUGACCGAUCCAGCCGUUAGAGAGUGGUGAUAGAUAGUUGAGUUGUACGGAACUAUCAAUAUUCUAUCUAUGACUGAAGUAAGUCACUCAUUUUAGAAUGGUUUGAAAUGAUAAUUUGUUGCGUGUAUUUCCAUUUCAUUUUUUUUAUUGGAAAAGAAGAAGUGAGAACCAAGAACCUGGCUUUUCAGCAGCAGCAUUCUUGACCUCAGAAAGAGAGGACGUGUUGGGCCCGACCGCCCAACUUGGAGUUCUGUGCACUUGGAAUCUAGCGGGUUGGGUUUCCUAGUGACGCGCAUGGUUUUUCUCGGCAUGACACCUGGUUCCAUCUGUGCUUGGUGAUGCUUAGUGAUGUCCUUAGGCAACUUCAGCUCUAGCUUAUGUCAUCGUAGGAGCUGCCCAUCCUUAUGUUAAUCAGUCUGAGCUGAUAAAUGCUAGGGAGAGCAUCUGCAGGCAGGCUGUGAGCAGGUUACCCGUGAAAACCUAGAGCCAUGGUCUGCCAAAGGACCCAAGCCCCUGGAUUAUGGCGAACAGCCCAGGGAGCCAGCCUCAUUGGCCACUCCCUUAAUUAUUGUUUUCAUUCGCAACUAAGGUCCAAGCUUACCAGAGCAAGUGGGUCAUGCUCCCAGUCAGUUAUGUGGGACACUCACCUUUAUGAACCAGUAGCUUCCUCAUGUCCAUGGCCACGCCCAGUGCCUGCUCUUUCACCCAGUAAAGCCUCUGGCUUCUUGGCAUGCCUGGUGUGUUGGUUUCUAUAUGCUUGGGCCAGAGAGUGGCACUAUUAGGAGGUGUGGCCUUGUUGGAGAAAGUGUGUCACCUUGGGGGUGGGCCCUAGUCCUAGCUGCCUGGAGGCCAGUCUUCUCUUAGAGACCUUCAGAUGAAGAUGUAGACCUCUCAGCUUCUUCAGCACCAUGCCUGCCUGGAGGCUGCCAUGCUCCCCACCUUGAUGAUAUGAUACUGGACUGAACCUCCAAGCCAGCCCCAAUUAUAUGUUAUCCUUCUAAGAGUUUCCUUGGUCUGGUGUCUGUUCACAGCAGUAAAACCCUAACUAAGACACCUGGAGUUGCAGAGAAAAUGCAGAUGACAAGUGGCUAUAGCACAGUCUGAAUUUGCAGCAUGCGUUCUGUUCCCAUAACAGAGAUAAGAGAGGGUACUUAGACACAUACUCUGUGACCCAGAUUCCCUGUCAAGCCAUUCACUGUUAGCUUGUUUGGCCCUGUGUAACUCUUACCCAAGAGUCACCAGAAUUGCUGGUAAAAGGGGGAAGGACUCUCUGGCAAUUACAGAUCACUCCCCUAAUGUUAGCCUUACUACAUCAGGAGUCUGCCCUGCCCUGACAUGCCUGCUCCCUCGUCCUAGUCUGGUUCCCCUACGCUGGGUGGCAUUUCUAAUCUGCUUACCGUAUUCUUGUUCAUAUGUGUCGUCUUGUAAAGUAUAUGGUUUUCACCUUCCUAUAUUAAGCAAGGUGUUUUUGUUUUUGAGGUAUACCUGGGUACAUAGUUCAUUCCUUAUUACUGCUGGAUGGAUCGCAUUGCCUAGAUAUAACACAUCAUUCAGGGUGUUCCAGUUUGCAGCUGAUAUGAAUUAGCUUGCUAUGAGUACCUUUUCUUGAAAAUGGAUUUUUUUUAAUACAGUACAUUCUGAUUAUGGUUUCCCCCCCUUAACUCCUCCCAGAUGCUCCCCACCUCCUUAUCUACCCAUAUCCACGCCCUUUCCUUCUCUCACGAGGAGACAAACAUCUAAAACAAUUACUACUAAUAAUACAAUAUUAUUAAUUAAUUAAUUAACAAACAGAAGAAAAAGAGCC
This 2067-nucleotide long non-coding RNA is filed under the name Mus musculus (house mouse). RNAcentral's name for it is "long non-coding RNA chr15:100989880-100991947". Lineage: Eukaryota; Metazoa; Chordata; Mammalia; Rodentia; Muridae. The record is from RNAcentral.